RNAcentral lists this unclassified non-coding RNA (233 nucleotides) under Hevea brasiliensis (rubber tree). Lineage: Eukaryota; Viridiplantae; Streptophyta; Magnoliopsida; Malpighiales; Euphorbiaceae. The record is from RNAcentral.
AUAUCUUCGAUAUAAACAAUCUUCCCCUCCUUGUAGUAGGGAACCAAGCAAUCCAAGAACUUCGGAAACAAGUGCAAGUAGUCGCUCUGAAGGAAACCCUGCAUCGUUAUGCGCUUUGUUAUGAGACUGAACAGGUUACAUAUCCCUUUGGUAUCGGUUAUCGAAUGCUGGGACACCAUUCCACAAACAGCAAUUCGACCAUGUACCCUCAUGUUGAGAAGGACCGCUUCGAG